Molecule: RNA transcript, 733 nt
Organism: Nicotiana tabacum (common tobacco)
Lineage: Eukaryota; Viridiplantae; Streptophyta; Magnoliopsida; Solanales; Solanaceae
Source: RefSeq, a predicted model, not a curated record
UUAGAAAAAAAUGGGAAAACCUAUUCCCUUCAUGGAACGGAUACAACAUUGCGCCCCAUCAAUCAGGUCUCAGUCAGGUCUCGGUCAUCUUUUUCCUCUGCAACUAACGACAUCGAAUGACAACUCCUCUAUAAGCCUAUAUCGAUCAGGUCUCGGUCAUCUUUUUCCAGAGAUAAAUCCUCUUCUUCCCCAGGUGGCAAAAUAGUGAAGUUAAGAAAAAUUAUCGAGGGGUGUAGGCGAGUUCUCCACAAGCUUUAUGAUGUGUUCUCCUGAGUAAUGAACAAGUGAGAAUCAUUUCCAGCAGGCUUUAAUGGACCGUAGGUUGGUAAUGAAGAGCAAAUUCAAUUGUCAGGAUUCUUGAAAAAUUUGUUCUUCCCAAGAUAGUUUGACAAACUUAAGACUACAUAUUUGAAAUAGCUAAGUGUGAGGAGUACUUGUAUUACACACAAUUAUGGAUCAUUAAUAUCAGAUGUGAAAACAAUAAUGAAUAAACAAACAAAUAUUGUAUCAGGUUGAGAGGAUUUUCUCUUCUUCAUGUUGGCUCACUCCUGCUAUAUACAAGGAAUUGUUGUCCAGAUUAGCUUUAAGCCCCGAUACAAUUAACAAGUGAUUGAAAGCUUGGAAUUUGAGAACUAAUCCAAAUUAGAGUGUCUUUGAAGGUCACAUGUACAUUCACUAUUUAAUUGAAGAUAAACACUUACAUGUUGGCAUAUAGUUAGUGUUGAAACAUUUA